AGUGAACGCUGGCGGUAGGCCUAACACAUGCAAGUCGAACGGCAGCACAGUAAGAGCUUGCUCUUACGGGUGGCGAGUGGCGGACGGGUGAGGAAUACAUCGGAAUCUACUUUUUCGUGGGGGAUAACGUAGGGAAACUUACGCUAAUACCGCAUACGACCUACGGGUGAAAGCAGGGGAUCUUCGGACCUUGCGCGAUUGAAUGAGCCGAUGUCGGAUUAGCUAGUUGGCGGGGUAAAGGCCCACCAAGGCGACGAUCCGUAGCUGGUCUGAGAGGAUGAUCAGCCACACUGGAACUGAGACACGGUCCAGACUCCUACGGGAGGCAGCAGUGGGGAAUAUUGGACAAUGGGCGCAAGCCUGAUCCAGCCAUACCGCGUGAGUGAAGAAGGCCUUCGGGUUGUAAAGCCCUUUUGUUGGGAAAGAAAAUCAGCAUGUUAAUACCCCGCUGUUCUGACGGUACCCAAAGAAUAAGCACCGGCUAACUUCGUG
RNAcentral lists this ribosomal RNA (492 nucleotides) under uncultured bacterium. RNAcentral's name for it is "partial 16S ribosomal RNA". It matches the Rfam family "Bacterial small subunit ribosomal RNA", at positions 29 to 507 of the family's 1533-position model. The record is from RNAcentral.